UACAGAGGGUGCAAGCGUUGCUCGGAAUUAUUGGGCGUAAAGGGCAGGUAGGUGGUCUCAUUUGUCUGGGGUGAAAGCCUUGAGCUUAACUCAAGAAGUGCCCCAGAAACGGUGAGACUAGAGUCCUAGAGAGGGUCGUGGAAUACCCGGUGUAGCGGUGAAAUGCGUAGAGAUCGGGUGGAACACCAGAGGCGAAGGCGGCGACCUGGAUAGGUACUGACACUCAAGUGCGAAAGCGUGGGGAGCAAACAGG
Molecule: ribosomal RNA, 253 nt
Filed under: uncultured bacterium
Lineage: Bacteria
Description: partial 16S ribosomal RNA
Rfam family: Bacterial small subunit ribosomal RNA
Source: RNAcentral